UACAGAGGGGGCAAGCGUUGUUCGGAAUUACUGGGCGUAAAGGGCGCGUAGGUGGCCUUCUAAGUUGAACGUGAAAUCCCUGGGCUCAACCCAGGAACUGCGUCCAAGACUGGGAGGCUUGAAUCCGGGAGAGGGAUGCGGAAUUCCAGGUGUAGCGGUGAAAUGCGUAGAUAUCGGGAGGAACACCUGUGGCGAAAGCGGCGCACUGGACCACAUCUGACGCUGAGGCGCGAAAGCUAGGGGAGCAAACAGG
This 253-nucleotide ribosomal RNA is filed under the name uncultured bacterium. Its description in RNAcentral is "partial 16S ribosomal RNA". It matches the Rfam family "Bacterial small subunit ribosomal RNA", at positions 524 to 776 of the family's 1533-position model. The record is from RNAcentral.